Saccostrea cuccullata (small rock oyster) is the source of this 1047-nucleotide long non-coding RNA. RefSeq lists it as uncharacterized. The record is from RefSeq and is a predicted model, not a curated record. Lineage: Eukaryota; Metazoa; Mollusca; Bivalvia; Ostreida; Ostreidae. The transcript has 3 exons.
AGAUAUCUCCAUUGAGAUCCAAGUUAGAUUCCACUGAGAUCUGAGAUUCCACAUCUACAUUCAAUGACCAUGCAUGACUUCCUAAACUGUAGCAGACUAUACAUAUAUUGAAGGUAAAAAAUCUACAAUUUGAAGAGUCUUCAAGAAAAGUAAUAGCUGUUGACGAUGAACAUCUUACUUGAACCAUCUUUAUAUUUUCCACUUUUCUUCAGAUGUCAGAGUGAUAUUCAGUGAAUCAAAGAUUUAACCAUUCUUGAUCAGAGUUAUGAUGUUCUUUAAAUGAUAGCUUGGCAGUUUUAUGAAGGUGAUCAGCAGAAUUGUCUCGCAGUGAGAAGUCUACCCCCAACUUUCUCCAUCAUUUUCUGAGGUUUACGCAUACAGAGGCAUUUUGUUGCAAAACGAAUAUGACUUGACAGCUGAAGAUUUUAACCAAGGAAAGACAACUUGAUGAACUUUGCUUUGACGGGUCAAUAACUACUAAACAAAAAUCAGGGACAUUGCUUAAAUGUUAAGAAAUAGUGCAAGCACAUUCUAAAAUGUAAGCUUCCAAGUGACCAAUAUAUAGGAUUCUUUGAUUUUUUAAAAUAAAACAGGCCAAAAUUUUUUUUAUUUCCUUACAAGGAUUAUAUAGGAAUUUAUAUUUUCUUUUUUCUCCCUUACUUUUUUAAGAAAUGAGCUAAAAUCCAUGGGUGCUUUGUACUACAUGUACCUUGAAUUACAAUAUUUUAGAAUAUGAUGUUUUACAAUUUUUAUGCCCCCCUUGGAAGAAGGUAGCGCAAAUUGCUUUGCUGCUGUCCGUCUGUCAGUCAGUUUUUUGGUACACCAUGAGUUUCCGUUCAUUUUCUUCUCAGAGGUUUUCACAUACUGAAAUGAAAUUUGGUAUACUGAUUUAUCAUAAGAAUAUCUAUGUUACUUGAAAUUAUAGGAAAGGGUUUUGAGAAUUUAAUUAAUUUCAGAACCCCUUAGGUUUAAAAAAAUAUUUUUGUUUCCUGUUACAUUCCCAAAAAAUCAAGGGUUGAUAGGUUGGGAAUUCUUUUUUUUUUUUUU